CUCACCUGUGUUUCAUGUGUGGCUCCCCUGUGGUUCAUGUGUGGUUCAAGCAUCGAACAUGUGUGUUUCAGAUGUGGUUCAAGGGUGUCUCGCAUGUGGUUCAUGCACGGCUCACACAUGGAUUGGGCGUGAUUCAGGCGUGGCUCACACACGACUAGUGUGUGUCCCAGAUGGUAGAGGACACUUUCACACGUGGUUCCAGCCUAGCUCAGCCAUGGCUCACAAGUGAUGCAGGCGUGCCACUGAACUGGCUCACCUGUGGCUGACACAUGAUUCAGGCUUUUGUCACGCAUGGCUCCCACAUGGCUAAGGUGUGGCUCAUGCAUGGCUGAGGUGUUGGUGAGGCAUGGCUCACAUGUGUUUGUCUCAUGGUGGGCAUGUGGGACAGGCAUGGCGGGCACGUUGUGCCAGUGUGGCGACGCAUGCUUCAAGUGAGGCUGACAUGUGGUUCAAGUGAGACUGGCAUUUAGUUCAGGCCUGGAUGGCAUGUGACUUCGGCACGGCUGAGAACUGACUCAGGCGUGGCUCACACGUUAUUCAGGCGAGGCUGACACAUGACACAGGUGAGGUGGCUGAAGGACACAGGAGUGCCUGACACGUCACACAGUUGUGGUUCACACACGGUUCAUGCAUGGCCUUCAUGUGUUUCAGGCAUUGCUGGUGCACGGUUCACGCAUGGGUGGCCAGUGGUUCAGGCGAGGCUGACAUGUGACUCAGGCAUGUGUGAAACAGGACUCCGGUGUGGCAGACACAUGUGUCAGUCUUGGCUGACACAUGACUCAGGCAUUCAUCCCCCAGUAUCCAUGUGUGACAGAAACGUGAUCACGCAAGGAGUUACAUGCCAUACAUGGGUGGCUCCCAUGGUUUCACAGGUGGUUCAGAUGUGCUUCAAGGGUGUCUCACAUGUGGUUCACGCAUGGCUCACACAUGGUUUGGGUGUAAUUCAGGCGUGGCUUACACAUGACUCGUUUGGGUGACAUAUGGUAUGGGACACGUUCACACGUGGUUCAGGCAGAGCUCAGCCAUGGCUCACACGUGAUGCAGGCGUGCCACAGGACUGGCUCGCAUUUGGCUGACACAUGAUUCAGGCAUAUGUCAUGCAUGGCUCACACAUGGCUCAGGUGUGGCACAUGCAUGCCUGUGGUGUUGCUCAAGCCUGACUCACAUGUGUUUGUGGCAUAUUUAUCACGUGGUUCAGGCAUGGCAGGCAAGUUGUGCCAGUGUGGCUGACACGUGCUUCAAGUGAGGCUCACCUGUGGUUCAAAUGUGACUGGCACUUGGUUGAGACCCGGCUGGCAUGUGACUUCGGCACGGCUGAGCCGUGACUCAGGUGUGGCUCAAAAGUUAUGCAGGCGUGGCUGACACGUGACUCAGGUGAGGGGGCCAUGUGACACAGGCUUGCAUCAUGGGUCACACAGGUGUGGUUCACACAUGGUUCCUGC
RNAcentral lists this long non-coding RNA (1442 nucleotides) under Equus caballus (horse). RNAcentral describes it as "lncRNA (ENSECAG00000045881.1)". The record is from RNAcentral. Lineage: Eukaryota; Metazoa; Chordata; Mammalia; Perissodactyla; Equidae.